UUUAACCAAGUUUCCAGCCGUUUCCAGAAUAGCGCACUCAUUGAGGAUAUCAAAGGAAGCUAUCCGAAACCUUGUUUUGAUGAGUACAACGCAAAGUUGCAACUACAAUAUAAAAUGUUGUCUCGGAUGAUCAACCAGAAAGAUAUCAUGAUCCCUCAUUUAGGAGUCGCACAAGAACGAUUGAGAAAUAGGAACGUGUUUCUCGUUCUUGAUGAUGUGGAUCGGUUAGCACAACUAGAAGCCUUGGCCAACAAUGUUCAGUGGUUUGGUCCUAGAAGUCGGAUUAUCAUCACAACAGAAGAUCGAAGUCUUUUGAACGCACAUGGGAUCAACCAUAUAUACAAGGUUGGUUUUCCAUCAAAUGAUGAGGCUCUUCAAAUGUUCUGCAUGUAUGCUUUUGGUCAAAAGUCCCCUAAAGACGGUUUUUAUGAACUUGCGCGUGAAAUUACAUACCUUGUCGGUGAACUUCCUUUAGGACUAAGGGUUAUUGGAUCCCACUUUCGUGGAUUGUCCAAGGAGCAGUGGUCAAUGGAAAUAUCAAGGUUAAGGACUAACCUUGAUGGAGAUAUUGAGAGCAUUUUGAAGUUCAGUUUUGAUGCUUUAUGUGAUGAAGAUAAAGAUUUAUUCCUUCAUAUAGCUUGCUUUUUCAACAACGAAAAUAUAAACAAAUUAGAAGAAUUUAUUGGCCAAAGAUUCAAGGAUUUGAGUCAAAGGCUUUACGUUUUAGUGGAGAAAUCUCUCAUAUCUAUUGAAAGAUUUCUUGAAUAUGUGAGUAUAAAAAUGCACAAUUUGCUGGCCCAACUAGGUAAAGAAAUCGUCCGUAAAGAAUCUCGUGAGCCUGGGCAACGCCGAUUUUUGUUUGAUAAUAAAGAUAUUUGUGAAGUAGUCUCUGGUUAUACAACUGUAAGUUUUUCCAUUAUUCUUUCAUUGCAGUGCUCACCAUAACUUGAGUUUAUUUUAUCAUCUCUACUUAUCUUUGGGUCUUUUUUCUCAGAAUACUGGAAGUGUUGUAGGCAUAGACUCCGAUUCUUGGUUAAAUAUAACUGAGAAAGCCUUUGAAGGAAUGCCUAAUCUCCAGUUCUUAAGAGUCGUCGUAUACAAUUUUGAUCAUCCAAACAUUAUAUCUUCUUCGGGACCUCUGACUUUUAUAUCUUCGAAGCUACGAUUAAUAGAGUGGUGGUAUUUUCCGAUGACAUCUUUGCGUUUUAUUAAUAAUCUGGAAUUCCUUGUCGAAUUAAAAAUGCGUUACAGCAAACUUGAGAAGCUGUGGGACGGAAUCAAAGUAAGUCAUUUAAAUUUUAGUUUUGUAUGUAGAAUAUCCUCUCUUGUACAUUAAAUUAACUUGAAAAAUUAUAUUUUACUUGCCACUUCGUUUCUAGCAUGAAAAUAUAUAUAUAUUUUAAAAUUUUAUGUGUUCCAAUUGCUAAGUGUAAUGUGUUCCAAUUUUAUGUGUUAAAUUUUUAUGUAUAAUUGUGUAUAUUUUGUCUCCAUCUUUCUUUACAGCUGCUUAAGAAUCUCAAGCGUAUGGAUUUGUCAUAUUCCAGAAACCUGAAGGAGCUUCCUAAUCUUUCAAUGGCCACUAGUCUUGAGAAGUUAAAACUUAGUGGAUGUUCAAGUCUGGUGGAGCUCCCUUCUUCUAUUGGGAAUUCAACUAAUCUCUCCACAUUCAAACUUGAUGGAUUUAGUCUAGUGGAGCUCCCUUCUUAUGUUGGUAAUUUAACUAAUCUCCAGGAAUUAUCACUUAGUGGAUGCUCAAGGCUUGUAUCACUCCCACAGCUUCCAGAUUCCUUAUUGCGCCUAAAUGCAAACAAUUGUGAGUCCCUAGAGAAACUAGACUGCUCCUUUUGCAAUCCAUAUAUUUGGCUUCACUUCGCUAACUGCUUCAAACUAAAUCAAGAAGCAAGAGAUCUCCUCACCGAGACAUCAAAUGUUAAAUUGUAAAGAAGUGCCUGCGUGCUUCACUUACAGAGGUUAUGGGAAUUCCGUAACAGUGAAGUUGAAUCAAAAGCCUCUUCCUACAUCAACCAAAUUUAAGGCUUGCAUCUUAUUUGGUAACAAUGGCGAAAAUGACGUUAGUUAUAUUUAUUGGGACACAACAUGUGUGUAUACGAAGAAGAAUAAGGGUUGCAUCUUGUUGGAUAAUAAGGGAGAACAUGAGGAACGAGGGUCGGUGUCUUGUCGCAUCAGACACAAACCGAAUGGUUUCUUAAAUUACUAUCCAGUUAUAACGGAGCAUCUAUACAUUUUCGAAGUUGAAGUAGAGGAGGUGACUUCCACAGAGCUUUUUUUUUAUUUCGAGAUCUUCAAAGAGGAUUCCAGGACUAUGGAGAUAAAAGAAUGUGGGAUAAUCCACAUCUUGGAACAUCAUGUUGAUGGCGACGAAAAGAUGGCGAUGAAGAUGGAGACAAUGUAGAUCUGAGACAAACAUUGAAACUCAAGUCAAACAGAGAAGCCACAAGACAAAAUUGCAAGGACGAAUGGUAAGUUUGCAUUUUCACAACUCAAGAACUUACUUUGUUGAUAAACUUUGCAUAACAACUGUUCAAUGAAAUGUCUAAGUGAGCUUUUUAAGUUUAAAGUGACAAUAGCUAGAACUGCAAUCUCCAAAAUGAUUUUUGAAUUCAAUCGUGUAGGGUUUAGAGCUGGAGCUUAAGAAACUCUUGAAGGUGAAGUUGAAGACGUCCAUGAAGAUCUAUUUAAGAAACAGGUACAAAACUUAUACAUUCUUUUGAUUUAUGUGUUUUGUUUGUCUUCUCAAUUCAUGACAAUACAAAUAUAAAUUGUUUGUGAUAUUUUAGAUGUUCAGUAAAUUUCUUUUGGAUCUGAUUAAUUUUUGCUCUAGGCACAAGUAAAGUCGUUUCAAUAUGCAUUUGUCAAGUUAAUUGUGUCUUUUACGGUAUGGCUUGACCCACAUGUUCCUCUCUGUUUCUCAUUUGAAUAAUCAGUUUUUCCUGAUUGGUAUUCACUACUGUUAUUUCAUAUACUGCUUGAAAAAUUCUCAAAUUCUUUGAACUUGUGUUUAGUGCUCUAGUUGCUCUCUGUUAAUUCAGAUUUGGAUAAUUAGUUGUCCUGUUUCAGUAUUACUUAACUGUAUUCCUUAAAUUGGUUAGAUAUAGUUUUGCUGAAUGUAUAACGAUUGCUAGUACCUUCGUGAAAUGGUUUUGAAUCUGUUUGUGUAAUGUCAAAGCCAGAAGCCGAGAACGUAGCAAAAGUUAAGAUGGUUAAGAGUCUUUUAGGUAUGUUGUGUGCCUUCAGCUUCUCGUUUAUGUCUCAGAAUGCCUUCAUGCUAAUGAGAUGACUUUAUUUUGUAGGUGAACUAUUACAGUUGGCCUCUUGAAAUUCUAUUAUCAUUUAUACAUUUUCGACAUUGAAGCAGAGGAGGUGACUUGCACCGAGCUUGUUUUUACGUUCGAGGACAGAAAUUCCACAUACCUGAAAGCUUGGGAGAUAAAAGAAUGUGGGAUACUUUUAACUUCGGAGCGUCAUAUUGAUGACUUAUGAGAGCUUGGGAGAACCACACACCCUUAGCCCACGCGCAGGCUGGUUUUGUCACUCUGAUGUGUUUCCAAGUCUCACCAGUAGAGAAGUUUUUCUUAAAACCUGACGUCCGCUACAUUUCGUCUGCUUCUCGAUUUUGCCUCUUCUAUCCCAGCUUCAAUUCUGGUCAAUAAAUCCACACGGUGUCUCCUACUACGUCGAGUCAGAAACACGUCUUCCAUAGUCAUAGUCUUAGUAAAUCCCAGAUCAAUGCAUCCUCUGUCGCCCAAAACGUCGAAAAGAGGUCCCACGGAGGACUUGUGAUCAUACCAAAAAGAAGUGUUCUUACCACUUUGAAUUUCCAUCUUGUGGAAACUUUUUGCUAUCUCUUUCAGUUUGAAUAACAAAAAGAACCUUGGUAAGAAGAUUCUUUGACUGCCCAAAACGAGUUUUGCCAGAGGAGAUAAGUCUGAAUCCAUUGUCUUUUAGAGAGUGUUUUGUGGAUUCAGCUUCUCGUUUAUGACGUCUAUAUGACUAAGAACUGUUACAAUUGUUUGUCAAACAUGUGAAGGUGAAGUUGAAGAUCUAAUUUACCUACUUAAGAAAUACUUAAUACAUUCUUUUGAUUUAUGUGUUUUGUUUGUCUUCUCCAUUCAUGGGCCAUGGCAACAUAUAAAAUAUGUUUGUGAUAUUAAGAUGUUGGUUAAAAAUUCUUUUGAUUUAUGUGUUUUGUUUGUGAUAAACACAUAUAAAAAAUGUUUUUGAUAUUUAGAUGUUCGUUAAUAAUUCUUUUGGACAAAUAUGCAUUUGCCAAGUGAAUUGUGUCUUUUACGAUAUGGCAGAAGAGAAAUCACACAACUAUAUGUCAACUUUAACAAAAUGGAGAUUUAGACAAAGCUCUUCUCUUAUUACAUGAACAUGGCACAUUACACUAGAUAUCACAUCCACACAAGCUUUAUAAGACGAAAAAGGACUAAUUUUUUUUAAUAACGCCAACCAAAACUUGAUUCAAGCAAGAAGUCCAAAAAAAUUCCAUUUUCCUGAAUAAAAAAUAAUAAUUUAGAUGGAAUGUGAUAAAGACUGAAAUCAAUAAAAAGAAAGACAAAUACCUUGCGCAUUAGUAGCAGGAGGACUAGCAGGAGACACUGCAACCAAAACAAAACAAAACAAAAAUCUCUAUUAAUCAGAUAAUCAUAUAACUACAAAAGGAAUUAAAUCAUAAUCCAUAAAAAAUCAAGAAGAAAUCUAACAUGCACCACAAGCUGCCACCGGAGGAGCAUAAACUUUACAAGCAUCGGGAAGAGUAGUAGCCUUAGUAACGUUAAGUUUGAUUCCGUAAGAGGCAGUGUUCUUCAACCCUUCGCAUCAGUGCCGGCCCGGUAAAUUUGGGUGCCCUAAGCAAAAUUAAAGCCAUAAAAAAAAAAUUCUUUUAAAUUAGAUUUUUACCAUUAAAAAAAAUGUUGUAGUUGUCUCUAAAAGCCAACAAUAUUUUUAAAAGGCCCUACAAAAAUUAUUGUAUAUAAGGAAAACUUAACAAGUUUUUAGGUAAAAAGGCCCUCAAAUUUUGAGGCCCUAAUCGGUGGCUUCGGUGGCUUGCCCUCUGCGCCGGCCCUUCUUCGUAUAGACAUUCCGGUUCCGUAUCGAGGAUAUUCUUGAGACUGGAGCAGCACGAAUUUGAGGGUGUAUCCAUCGUACUCCCGAUCGUUAUAAAUGAUAAACAUGGGAACAGGGGAACAACAAGGGUACACCCGGAGGCUGGUAUAAUGUUUCCAUGAACAUAAGGAGAGGAAACAGAGAGGACUAGGAGGAGAAGAGAUGUUGCUGCGGAGAAGAAAGCCAUUGUUUUGGUUCUCUGUUUUGGUUACUGCUUAAGAAUCUAGAGAGAAGAAAAUGAGAAUUGUGGUAGAGAAUGAGUGAAAUGUGCUGUGUUUAAAUAUGGGUUUGAGUGAUAAAGACGACGUCGUUUUGGUGUACACGUCAUGUGUAACUUGUAAUUUUUUGGUUCUUUUAGUGUAAGAUUCUGCUCAUUUUUAUUUGGAUUUUAUCCUAUAUUAAGAGCUUUUUAUCAUUGAAAUUAAAGUUGUUACCAAAAUGAUUAGAUUUGUUAGAAGAAUACAGAAGAAAAAAAAAAAGUAGAAAAAUAAAAAUGUAAUUUCUAAAAACGUUGGUGAAAAAAAUAAAAAAAAAUUUCUUAAAACGCUUUUCUAAGUAGAAGGAUUUGUAUUCAUACUUUGCUUUGCUGUAUGUAUUUCUUAGAUUUUGUUUUUUUUCUGCUGUAACCUUCUGUCAAAAUCUAUAAAUGGUAUAAAACUUAACAUUCAUACCAAAAAACAAAAGUUUAUAUGCUAAGAUAUUUAUUUUUUUUAUGUUAAAGUUGCUAAGAUUUUCUUUUUAACUGUCUUGGUUUAUAUGUCUUGGUUCUGAGUCUUUUCGAGAGUGUUGUGUGGAUUCAGCUUCUCGUUUAUGUCGUCUGUAUGACUAAGAACUGUUACAAUUGUUUGUCAAACAUGUAAUAAACUUGAAGGUGAAGUUGAAGAUCUAAUAUACCUACUUAAGAAACAGGUACAAGACUUAUACAUUCCUUUGAUUUAUGUGGUUUGUUUGUCUUCUCCAUUCAUGGCAACACAUAUACAAAAUGUUUGUGAUAUUUGCCAAGUGAAUUGUGUCUUUUACGAUAUGGCAGAAGAGAAAUCACACAACUAUAUAUCAAAUUUAACAAAAUGGAGAUUUUGACAAAGCUCUUCUCAUAUUACAUGACCAUGGCACAUUACACUAGAGAUCACAUCCACACAAGCUUUAUAAGACGAAAAGGGACUAAAUAUUUGUUAUAACGCAGACCAAAACUUGAUUCAAGCAAGAAGUCCAAAAAAAUUCCAUUUCCCUGAACAUAAAAUAAUAAUUUAGAUGGCAGGAUUAAACAUUAUAAUAAGUUAUCAAGAAUGAAAUGUGACUAAGAAUGAAAUCAAUAAAAAGAAAGACAAAUACCUGGCGCAUUAGCAGCAGGAGGACUAGCAGGAGACACUGCAACCGAAACAAAACAAAGUUUCUAUUAAUCAGAUAAUCAUAUAACUACAGAAGAAAUUAAACCAUAAUCUGAUUUAUCGUAAGGAUCAUAAUCCAUAAAAAUCAAGAAGAAAUACAGAGAGAUGAAGGAGAAAUCUAACAUGCACCACAAGCUGACGCCGGAGGAGCAUUAACUUUACAAGCAACGGGAAGAGUAGUAGCCUUAGUAACAUUAAGUUUUAUUCCGUAAGAGGCACUGUUCUUCAACCCUUCGCAUAGACAUUCCGGUUUCGUAUCGAGAAUAUUCUUGAGACUGGAGCAGCACGAACUUGAGGGUGUAUCCACCGUACUCCCGAUCGUUAUAAAAGAUAAACAUGGUAACAGGGUAACAACAAGGGUGGUGCACUCGUCGGCUGGUACAAUGUUUCCAUGAACAUAAGGAGAGGAAACAGAGAGGACGAGGAGGAGAAGAGAUGUCGCAGCGGAGAAGAAAGCCAUUGUUUUGAUUCUCUGUUUUGGUUACUGCUUAAGAAUCUAGAGAGAAGAAAAUGAGAAUUGUGAUAGAAUGAGUGAAAUGUGUUGUGUUUAAAUAUGGGUUUAAGUGAUAGAGACGACGUCGUUUUUAUGUACACGUCAUGUGUUAACACGUCAUUUUUUGGUUCUUUCUGUGUAAGAUUCUGCUCAUUUUUAUUUGGAUUUUAUCCUAUAUAAAGAGCUUUUUAUCAUCGAAAUUAACGUUAUUACCAAAAUGUUUAGAUUUUAAAGAAGAAAAAAAAAAAAAAACAGAAAAAUAAAAAUGUAAUUUCUUAAAACGCUUUUCUUAAAGUAGAAAGAUUUGUAUUCAAACUUUGCUUUACUGUAUAUACUACUUAGAUUUUGUUUUUUUCUGCUGUAAUCUUCUGUCAAAAUCUAUAAAUGGUAUAAAACUUAACAUUUAUACCAAAAAAACAAAAGUUUAUAUGCUAAGAUUUUCUUUUUAACUAACUUGGUUUAUAUGUUUAAAGACUAAUUAAUUAAAUAUAGUAAACAAGUUUUAUCAUUUUGCAUACAAUUAUUCAGUGGGUCAGUUUCUCAUUGUAUUUAAGAUAAGAGAUUGGUUCGGUUUGCACAAAAAAAUGGAGAUUGGUUCAAACUUCAAAUGUUGAAACCUGCGUGUUGUUGUUAUUGAAUUUAAAAAAUUAAAAAACUUUUUUUUUUCUUUCUCAAUGUCAAAACUAUGAGUUCUUUCGCAUAAAGAAUGAAAACAAAAUUAAUGUAACAAAAAUAGUUAAAGAAUAUCACAUAUUUUCGAUAUCUUUCAAGAUUUGAAUAAUUAGUUUUUCCAGAUUUAGUAUUACUUAAUUCUAGUCCUGAAAUGUAGUUUUACUGAAUGUAUAACGAUUGCGCUUAACUUUGUGAAACGGGUUUGAAUAUGUUUUAAUAAUUAAUGCAAAGCGAGAACAUAGCAAAAAGUUAGAAUGGUUAUGAGUCUUUUAGAGUAUGUUGUGUGGCUUCAGCUUCUCGUUUAUGUUCUCGUAUGACCGAGGUCUGAGGACAUGCUAUUUUAUUUUAUAUGAAAUGACUUCUUUUUUUUGAUGAACUAUUACAAUUGGCCUCUUGAAAUUCAAUUAGUGUCAUGUUAAAAAAAAAGUAAAAUCUAAAUGGGACUAAAAAAACAACUAUUGAAUAAGGGGUACUGGGUGGCAAGGGACCUAAACAUUACAACAAGUGCAACUGUUUGGAGUAGUGUUUGACAUAAGAGUAGAAGGGGUUUACAAGUUAUCUCCUAGUAGAAAGCCAAAAGAAGAAUAAAUCACCAUAUUUUGCAUUCCCGGAAGAUGGGAAUGUUCGUGUUGAUGUUUUUCCAAGGCUUGAUGUUGUUUGAGGUUCUUUACCAUGUCUUUUGUUAUUUCUCUCCCUCCAUAUGGUAUGGACUGCAAUUUGAAACGUUUAUCGCAGAAGUAAAAGAGCCUUCUUUUUGGUUGUCUCAUAUGUUAUGAGCAAAAUGAUUUGAUCCCAAUCCAGAAGUAUCUACAGGUGUGACUAUCUUGAAGUAUCCCUUUUACUAACUCCUCCCAUAUUUGUCUUGUAUACGGGCAUUGAAAGAAGAGGUGGUGUCUUGUCUCAACCGGUUCCUGACAAAACGCACAAGAUGUAUUCACUUGGGUCUUCCACUUCACCACUCGUUCACCUGUAGAUAAUUUGUCAUGCUUUGCAAGCCAUGUAAUAAAAGCGUAUUUAAGCGUAGCUUCAGAUUGUUCGAGUUUUUCAGGUCUUGAUUUAAGAAAUGAUCAAAAUUAUAACAAAAUUCAGAUUUAAUUGGAUUUGGUUUAAGUUUGGAUGAAAAUUUAGUUAAAUAAUGAUUAAUUAUAUGUAAUUCAUAUUAUAUUUUAAUAUAUGUUAAUUUUAUAUAUGAAAACUGAAAUAUUAACUGAAAUAUUUCGAUGUGGAAAUUUAUGUACUUUUCAUAGUAUUAUAAAAUUUGGUUUGGUUUCACCUUAGUAAAUUUUUGUGAUCGAACCAAAUAAACAUGUAUUAAUAUAUAUUCAUAUUCGGUUCGGUAUAAUAAUUUAUAGAUCACUAGUAACAAAAUUGGUUUGGUUUCACGUUGAUGAAUUUUUGUAACACAACCAAAUAAAACUUCAUUAAUUAACCUUUUUACAUCAUGACUAAAAAAAUUUCAAUUUAUUUAUAAAUUCUAAACUAGAAUUUCAGAAGAAAAUAUAUUAAAUUUCAAUUUUUCAUUGUGGUUUCUUUCAUAGAAUUAGAGUGUCAUAUGUCGUAACCAAUUGCUGAGUUAUUUAUUGGGUUCUGCAAAAAAAAAAAUAACUCUCCACCUCAAAAAUACAGAUAAAUCAUACGAAGUAAGAAAAAAAACAUAAUAUAAACUUUAUAUGUAUAUUGUAUAUGUUUUCACAAUCACAUACAAUAUAUAUUUUUUAGUUAUAAAUGUUGAGUUAAACUUCUCGUCGCGAAGGCUUCGAUUUAACAUAUUAAUCAUCAAAAUUUUACAAACUUGAGAGUAGCGGAAAAAUGUUAUAUUGCGUAUUAUAUUUAACUUCGUAGGAUUAAUUUGCAUUUUUGUAGGUGAAGAUAAAUUUGCAAAAAGUGGCUAGUUUGAAGAUUUUUAUUACGGAGACGGUAAGGUAUGAAAGUCAGUUGUUGCAAAUAAAAUGACCAAUUAAAUUUCUGAAAGGAAAUAUCAAGAAAUUUGAGAGUAUAAAUUAGAUGGAGAGAGAGAGAGAUAGCAAAUUUAGGAAUGUGAAACAAAGUCAACUGUUAAUGAGGGAUGUUUCCUCAUUAACAAAACCUUUUGGGAAUAACUCUUACUUAGUCUAAGCUAUAUUUUAAAUUUUAUGAGCAAUUGUGUUUUGUUUUGAGCUGUCAUGCUCUGUUUUCUGUUUUUGAAUCUUUCCUUUGAUUUUUAAUGUAGUUUACGAAAAAUUCGUACAGAACCGCUUCAUAUCACAUAUGUAAACAACAUUUUUCAUGAAUGGCUUUUUUGAGCUCUAAUUAAUUUCGGAUGACAAAAAAAAAAAAAAUGUAGUUUCAAAGCCCCCAGCGAAACACUAUGGAAAAUCUCCAAACGUUACUUCCUUUGUCAACUCUUGAUUUUGCGUAUAAGAAAAAGUCAUGAGAUUAAUAAGCCAAUCAAUCGGAUAUUUUGGAAUUUUUUUUCCUUUGUAGUAAGGUGAAAUAAUUGGUCGGUUGCAUUUUCUUAUUCAAACUAAAUUUCUCGGAGGAAAUAUCAAGGAAAUUCUAAAGAUAUUGUAUGUCAACGUUCUAGGCCUAUAUACAUUCAAGUUUUAAUCCUUACCCCCCAUUUAACUCUGUUAAAGAUAUUGUAUGUCAACGUUCUAGGCCUAUAUACAUUCAAGCUUUUUCCUCUUCUUAUUCUUCUGCUCCUUCGAUUCCUUCAUCUUCUUCGUCUCAAAACUGGGAGUACGAUGUCUUUCCCAGCUUCCACGGGAAAGAUGUACGCAAAGCCUUUCUCAGCCACGUUCUAAAGGAGUUUGGAAGAAAAGCAAUCAACUUUUUUGUUGAUAACGAGAUCAAGAGAGGAGAAUUCAUCGGUCCUGAACUCAAACGUGCGAUCAAAGGAUCUAAGAUUGCUCUUGUCUUGCUCUCCAAGAAUUACGCUUCUUCGUCAUGGUGUCUUGACGAAUUGGCGGAGAUAAUGAAGCAAGAGUCUGGUCAAACGGUGAUUACCAUUUUCUAUGAAGUAGAUCCAACGGAUGUGAAGAAGCAGAAGGGAGACUUUGGGAAGGUCUUCAAAAAAACUUGUAAAGGUAAAGACAAGGAGAAGAUUAAGACUUGGAGGAAAGCUUUGGAGGAUGUGGCCACAAUCGCAGGUUACCAUUCAAGCAACUGGUUCGUGUUCUUGAUUUAGCUUUUAAUAUUUCUAACUCAUCAUACUAUGUAGCAUACGAAACUGUAUGUAUACAAGAGAUUCAUAACUUUUGAACGUGUAUGUUAGUUCUUAGUGAUUAUUUAUUAACAAGAUGUAUGUAUGAAUUGUUCUUCGUCUUUGUUAGGGUUGAUGAAGCAGCCAUGAUUGAAAACAUCGCUGCUGAAAUUUCGAACAAGCUUAAUCAUUUGACACCAUUACGUGAUUUUGACUGUUUAAUUGGGAUGGAAGCUCAUAUGAAAAGGAUGGAACAGUAUUUACGUCUAGACUUGGAUGAAGUGAGGAUGAUUGGGAUUUGGGGUCCGCCUGGGAUUGGGAAGACCACAAUUGCCAGGUUUCUGUUUAACCAAGUUUCCAGCCGUUUCCAGAAUAGCGCACUCAUUGAGGACAUCAAAGGAAGCUAUCCGAAACCUUGUUUUGAUGAGUACAACGCAAAGUUGCAACUACAAUAUAAAAUGUUGUCUCGGAUGAUCAACCAGAAAGAUAUCAUGAUCCCUCAUUUAGGAGUCGCACAAGAACGAUUGAGAAAUAGGAACGUGUUUCUCGUUCUUGAUGAUGUGGAUCGGUUAGCACAACUAGAAGCCUUGACCAACAAUGUUCAGUGGUUUGGUCCUAGAAGUCGGAUUAUCAUCACAACAGAAGAUCGAAGUCUUUUGAACGCACAUGGGAUCAACCAUAUAUACAAGGUUGGUUUUCCAUCAAAUGAUGAGGCUCUUCAAAUGUUCUGCAUGUAUGCUUUUGGUCAAAAGUCCCCUAAAGACGGUUUUUAUGAACUUGCGCGUGAAAUUACAUACCUUGUCGGUGAACUUCCUUUAGGACUAAGGGUUAUUGGAUCCCACUUUCGUGGAUUGUCCAAGGAGCAGUGGUCAAUGGAAAUAUCAAGGUUAAGGACUAACCUUGAUGGAGAUAUUGAGAGCAUUUUGAAGUUCAGUUAUGAUGCUUUAUGUGAUGAAGAUAAAGAUUUAUUCCUUCAUAUAGCUUGCUUUUUCAACAACGAAAAUAUAAACAAAUUAGAAGAAUUUAUUGGCCAAAGAUUCAAGGAUUUGAGUCAAAGGCUAUUGGGAGAACCGGAGAUCGACCGAGAUCGACGAUCGAGAUGAUCGCCCAAGAUUACUCUCAUCAAUACCAUGAUAUCUUUACGUUUUAGAGGAGAAAUCUCUCAUAUCUAUUGAAAGAUUUCUUGAAUAUGUGAGUAUAAAAAUGCACAAUUUGCUGGCCCAACUAGGUAAAGAAAUCGUCCGUAAAGAAUCUCGUGAGCCUGGGCAACGCCGAUUUUUGUUUGAUAAUAAAGAUAUUUGUGAAGUAGUCUCUGGUUAUACAACUGUAAGUCUUUCCAUUAUUCUUUCAUUGCAGUGCUCACCAUAACUUGAGUCUAUUUUAUCAUCUCUACUUAUCUUUGGGUCUUUUUUCUCAGAAUACUGGAAGUGUUGUAGGCAUAAACUCCAAUUAUGGGUUAAAUAUAACUGAGAGAGCCUUUGAAGGAAUGCCUAAUCUCCAGUUCUUAAGAGUCGGAUACAAUACUCAUCAUCCAAACAUUAUAUCUUCUUCAGGACCUCUAAUUUUUAUAUCUCCGAAGCUACGAUUAAUAGAUUAGUGGUUUUUCCCGAUGACAUCUUUCCCUUUUAUUAAUAAUCUGGAAUUCCUUGUCGAAUUAAGUAUGCGUUAUAGCAAACUUGAGAAGCUGUGGGACGGAAUCAAAGUAAGUAAUUUAAAUUUUUUAAUUGUUUUAAAUUUUAGUUUUGUAUGUAGAAUAUCCUCUCUUGUACAUUAAAUUAACUUGAAAAAUUAUAUUUUACUUGCUACUUCGUUUCUAGCAUGAAAAUAUAUACAUUUUUUAAAUUUUAUGUGUUCAAUUGCUAAGUGUAUCAAAGUAAUUGUCUAUUUUGUCAUUAUUCUCCUUUACAGCUGCUUCGAAACCUCAAGUGUAUGGAUUUGGCAAAUUCUGAAAACCUGAAGGAGCUUCCUAAUCUCUCAAUGGCCACUAGUCUUGAGGAGUUAAACCUUGAAGGAUGUUCAAGUCUGGUGGAGCUCCCUUCUUCUGUUGGUAAUUUAACUAAUCUCCAGAAAUUAUCACUUGAAGGAUGCUCAAGGCUUGUAUCACUCCCACAGCUUCCAGAUUCCCCAAUGGUCCUAGAUGCAGAAAAUUGUGAGUCCCUAGAGAAACUAGAUUGCUCCUUUUACAAUCCAUGUAUUCAUCUCAACUUCGCUAACUGCUUCAAACUAAAUCAAGAAGCAAGAGAUCUCCUCAUCCAGACAUCAACUGCUAGAUUGGUGGUCUUACCCGGUAAAGAAGUUGAUACUUGCCACUUCGUUUAAUAUAGAUUAACUUGAAAGAUUAUAUUAUACUUGCCACUUCGUUUCUAGCAUGAAAAUGUAUCUUUUAAAAUUUUUGUGUUCAAUUGCUAAGUGUAUCAAAGUAAUUGUGUAUUUUGUCAUUAUUCUCCUUUACAGCUGCUUCGAAAUCUCAAGCGUAUGGAUUUGGCAUAUUCUGAAAACCUGAAGGAACUUCCUAAUUUCUCGAUGGCCACUAGUCUUGAGCAUUUAGAUCUUAGAGGCUGUUUAAGUCUGGAGGAGCUCCCUUCUUCUAUUGGAGAUUUAACUAAUCUAUGGAAAUUAGAUCUUAGAGGCUGUUUAAGUUUGGUGGAGGUCCCUUCUUCUAUUGGGGAUUUAACUAAUGUUUGGGAAUUAUAUCUUAGUGAAUGUUUAAGUUUGGUGGAGCUCCCUUCUUCUAUUGGGAAUUUAACUAAUCUCCAUGCAUUAGUACUUAAAGGAUGUUCAAGUCUAGUGGAGCUCCCUUCUUCUAUUGGGAAUUUAACUAAUCUCCAUAAAUUAUCACUUGAAGGAUGCUCAAGGCUUGUAUCACUCCCACAGCUUCCAGAUUCCCUAAUGGUCCUAAAUGCAGAAAAUUGUGAGUCCCUAGAGAAACUAGAUUGCUCCUUUAGCAAUCCGGGUACUUGGCUUAACUUUUCUUACUGCUUCAAACUAAAUAAAGAAGCAAGAGAUCUCCUCAUCCAGACAUCAUCUGUUAACGUUGUGGUCUUACCCUGUAAAGAAGUGCCUGCGUGCUUCACUUACAGAGGUUAUGGGAAUUCCGUAACAGUGAAGUUGAAUCAAAAGCCUCUUCCUACAUCAAUUAAAUUUAAGGCUUGUUGAAGGUUAUGGGUCGGUGUUUUGUUGCAUCAGAGACAAACUGAAUCGUUUCUCAGUCCACUCUCCAAUUAUAACGGAGCAUCUAUACAUUUUCGAAGUUGAAGUAGAGGAGGUGACUUCCACCGAGCUUGUUUUGGAUUUCGAGAUCUUCGAUUACGAUUCCAAGACUAGGGAGAUAAUAGAAUGCGGGAUAAUCCACAUCUUGGAACAUCAUGUUGAUGGCGACGAAAAGAUGGCGAUGAAGAUGGAGACAAUGUAGAUCUGAGACAAACAUUGAAACUCAAGUGAAACAGAGAAGCCACAAGACAAAAUUGCAAGGACGAAUGGUAAGUUUGCAUUUUCACAACUCAAGAACUUACUUUGUUGAUAAACUUUGCAUAACAACUGUUCAAUGAAAUGUCUAAGUGAGCUUUUUAAGUUUAAAGUGACAAUAGCUAGAACUGCAAUCUCCAAAAUGAUUUUUGAAUUCAAUCGUGUAGGGUUUAGAGCUGGAGCUUAAGAAACUCUUGAAGGUGAAGUUGAAGACGUCCAUGAAGAUCUAUUUAAGAAACAGGUACAAAACUUAUACAUUCUUUUGAUUUAUGUGUUUUGUUUGUCUUCUCAAUUCAUGACAAUACAAAUAUAAAUUGUUUGUGAUAUCUUGCUCUAGGCACAAGUAAAGUCGUUUCAAUAUGCAUUUGUCAAGUGAAUUGUGUCUUUUACCCACAUGUUCCUCUCUGUUUCUCAUUUGAAUAAUCAGUUUGUUCCUGUUUCAGUAUUGCUUAAUUCUAUUCCUGAAAUUCGUUAGAACAUAGCAAAAGUUAAAAUGGCUCUGAGAUUUUAGAGUAGGCUUCUAGUUUAUGUUCUCUGUAUGAAUGAAGACAUGCUAUUUUAUUCUAUAUGAAUAGGUGAACUAUUCCAUUUGGCCUCUCAAGUUUCACAAUUCUUGAUUUUGCUGCAACUUUUUUUGUAGCAUAUAUUGGCCUCUUGAAAUUUAGUUAUCUUUAAUUAAGGUUUAAUAAAAGUAAAAUCUGUAUGGGACUAAGAAGAACAAGUAUUGAAUGAGGUUUAUUGGGUGACAAGGCACCUAUAUAGGAACUUGACAAGUGUAAUGGAUUUGCUCAUUCUAUUAGACGGUGUAACCGAAUCAAGAUGUUGGAUUGUGUUGUAUUAGGUAGCGAAUAUGGGCGGUUACGGACAAAUGAAUUCGAAAUUUGGUGAUAGAAUUGGAAAUGUGGAUGCCAUUGAUUUUCCAAUGCAAAGCAGAAGAAUCUCAGGAGGUCUUUUCUCUUUUUUCUUGACAAGAAGUUUCAACAGCCAUUUCCACUUCCAAUUCUUAUCGAUAAUAUUCAAUUUCAACUGAAAACGAAGAACUCGUGGCUAAUUAUAUGCUGACAAAGUAUGUUAUCUUUCAUGUUAGGUGAUGUGUAAAAUUUUGUUCACUCAUUUAACUUGUAAUUAGUCUCCUAUUACAUAUAAUUUAUAAUAGACUCUAGUUAUAGGAAUCCGAACUAAAUUUCUCUUGAUAAAAAUAUGAUCGUGGUGUUCCUCGUGUUUAACAAAUUGCAAACUAUUAACUUUCAACAGAGUUGUGUGACUUGAGAAAAACAGAGGACUUUGUUGGUAUGAAGUCUCAUAGUAUAAACAGAAGACUCUGUUUCACACAGUUACGAAAAAAUCUGUAGAAAUCAAACCUUUUGUACAGAAGCAAGAAUUUUGUAACCUUCUUAGCUACAUAACAUUAACAUUGGAUCUUUAUACUCUUUGGAUUUUUCAUAAAACGACAUGAAUAUAUGUCCUCAAUACGAAACAUAGCCUGAUGCAUUAUCUCGUCGGCGCAUGUGAACUUAGAUUUAAGUCUAUAGAAUCCGUUUUUGCUAUUAAAAAAUCCAAAACCCUCUUAGAAAUAUGAUUCAACAAAUCCAAAAUCAACUAGGAAAUAUCCAUAAGCAAUAGAAACUUUCCAAGGAAUGACUUAUCUGCAUAGCCAAAUGUUAGUAUUCAGUAAUAUGAAUCAUCACUUAUGAGAUUGUUUGGUAUGAACCUUACUUUUCCUUAGAAUAACAUUUAUAUUUUCUUUAGAAGUGUCUCUGAAGUGAUUAGCUGUUAAAGAGUAAAUAGCUACAAAUUCCGUUAAUAGUGGAGGGACAAUGAUUACUCUCAUAAACCUUUAUGUUCACAGAAAUUUAUUUAUAAAGAUUAAUUGAUGGUUCUGAGUCUUUUAGAGAGUGUUGUGUGGAUUCAGCUUCUCGUUUAUGUCGUCUGUAUGACUAAGAACUGUUAUAAUUGUUUGUCAAACAUGUAAUAAACUUGAAGGAGUUGAAGAUCUAAUUUACCUACUUCAGAAAUAGGUACAAAACUUAAUUAAUCGAUACAUUCUUUGAUAUAUGUGUUUUGUUUGUCUUCUCAAUUCAUGGCAAUACAUAUAAAAAAUGUUUGUGAUAUUUAGAUGUUCAGUAAAAACUCUAGGCACAAAGUAGAGCCGUUUCAAUAUGCAUUUGCCAAAUGAAUUGUGUCUUUUUUGAUAUGGCAGAAGAGAAAUCACACAGUUACAUGUCAAAUUUAACAAAAUGGAGAUUUUGACAAAGCUCUUCUCAUAUUACAUGAUCAUGACACAUUACACUAGAGAUCACAUCCACACAAGCUUUAGUAUUUUAUCUUGUUGAAAUUGAAAUUAUCAUAAGACGAAAAAGGACUAAAUUUUUAUUAAGAAGACAAUUGACUUUUACAAUUCACCUACUAUGUUAUAACGCCAACCAAAACUUGAUUCAGGCAAGAAGUCCAAAAAAAUUCCAUUUCCUUGAACAAAAAAUAAUAAUUUAGAUGUCAUGAUAAAAAGCAGAUUAAAUUUUGCUCUGUUUUCUGUUUUUGAAUCUUUCCUUUGAUUUUUAAUGUAGUUUAGACGGCAAAAAAAAAAAAUUAUUACUUCCUCCAGCGAAAGAGGGCUGUUUCAAAGCCUCCAGCGAAACACUAUGGAAAAUCUCCAAACGUUACUUCCUUUGUCAACUCUUGAUUUUGCAUAUUGGCAAAAGUCAUGAGUAUAAUAAUAAACGUAUCAAUCGGAUAUUUUGAAGUUUUUUAAUCUUUGUAAUAAGGUGAAAUAAUUGGAUGGGUUGCAUGCAUUUUCUUAUUCAAAUUAAAUUUCUCAGAGGAAAUAUCAAUUCUAAAGAUAUUUUAUGUCACGUUCUAAGCCUAUAUACAUUCAAAUUUUAAUCCUUACCCCUACAUAACUGAAAAUUCUUCUAUCGAUCAUAGUAAUGGCUUUUUCUUCUUCUUCUUCUUCUCUUUCGAUUCCUUUAUCUUCUUCGUCUCAAAACUGGGAGUACGAUGUCUUUCCCAGCUUCCACGGGAAAGAUGUACGCAAAACCUUUCUCAGCCACCAACUGAAGGAGUUCGGAAGAAAAGCAAUCAACUUUUUUGUUGAUAACGAGAUCAAGAGAGGAGAAUUCAUCGGUCCUGAACUCAAACGGGCAAUCAAAGGAUCUAAGAUUGCUGUUGUCUUGCUCUCCAAGAAUUACGCUUCUUCUUCGUGGUGUCUUGACGAAUUGGUGGAGAUCAUGAAGAAAGAGUCGGGUCAAACGGUGAUUACCAUUUUCUAUGAAGUAGAUCCAACUGAUGUGAAGAAGCAGAAGGGAGACUUUGGGAAGGUCUUCAAAAAAACUUGCAAAGGUAAAGGCAAGGAGAAGGUUCAGACAUGGAAGAAAGCUUUGGAGGGUGUGGCCACAAUCGCGGGUUACCAUUCAAGCAACUGGUUCGUUUUCUUGAUUUAAAUUCACUUGAUUUUAAUAUUUCUAACACAUCAAACUAUAUUUGUAGCAUUCAUAGUGAUUAGUUAUUAACAAGAUGUAUGUAUAAAGUGAUCUUCCUCUUUGUUAGGGUUGAUGAAUCAACCAUGAUUGAAAACAUCGCUGCUGAAAUUUCGAACAAGCUCAAUCAUUUGACGCCGUCACGUGAUUUUGACCAUUUAAUUGGGAUGGGAGCUCAAAGUCUAUUUGUUAGUCCUUACUUUCACAUAGCUCUAUUAUUAGAUCUCUGAUCUUAAAUCUUCUCUCUAUCGUAGCAAUGGCUUCUUCUGCUCUUUCGAUUCCUUCAUCUUCUUCGUCUCAAAACUGGGAGUACGAUGUCUUUCCGAGCUUCCACGGGAAAGAUGUACGCAUAACCUUUCUCCGCCACAUUCUCAAGGAGUUUGGAAGAAAAGCAAUCAACUUUUUUGUUGAUAACGAGAUCAAGAGAGGAGAGUUCAUCGGUCCUGAACUUAAACAGGCGAUCAAAGGAUCUAAGAUUACUCUUGUCUUGCUCUCCAAGAAUUACGCAUCUUCGUCGUGGUGUCUUGAUGAAUUGGUGGAGAUCAUGAAGAAAGAGUCGGGUCAAACGGUGAUUACCAUUUUCUAUGAAGUAGAUCCAACGGAUGUAAAAAAGCAGACCGGAGAUUUUGGGAAGGCCUUCAAAGAAACUUGUCAAGGUAAAACUGAGGAGAAGGUUCAGACAUGGAAGGAAGCUUUGGAGGGUGUGGCCACAAUCGCAGGUUACCAUUCAAGCAACUGGUUAGUGUUCUUGAUUUCCACUUUCUUUUAAUUCUAACACAUCAAGCCAUAUAUCUUUAAUUGUAACGUUCGAACUGAAUGUAGACAAGAGAGUCAUAAUUGAUCUUGCUCUUUGGUAGGAUUGAUGAAGCAACCACGAUCGAAAAGAUUGCUGCUGAUAUUUUAUUGGAGAUAAGCAAGAUGUGUAUCUUGCGGACCAAGUAAUAUGGACCGUUAAAGUCCAUUAUGAAGUGAAGCCCGUGAAGCCUAAACCGAAGAAUAUUCUAGAUCUCUAUAUUACUUCUUGUACAAGUUAUUUACUUAUAUGUUUAGGAAAGUUUACAUUAUGUGGGUGUUAACAUUAUGUUAAUGUUAACACUAUAUAUAUGUAUCUUAUAUUUUCAUAUGAGAGAAAACUCAAUAAAGUAUUUUAUAGAUUCUAUAAUAUUUGACAUGGUAUCAGAGCAGUCGAUCCUUGUGGAUCUGAAUUAAAUGCUUCCGCAUUAAAAAUCUUGUGGUCACAAUAACCAUGGGAUGUGAAGCCAUCGAAGACGGUGGUGACGAAGACGAUCCGGAUGAUGACGUGAAGCAAAGUUUGCUUUGACGUCCACAUGAGAGUUUUAUAUUUCUUUUAUUCUAAGUUAAUGUUUUAGGUUGAUUUUGAGUUUAUGAUUUGGUUUAGCACAAGAAUUAGAGAUCUUUGAGGAAUUAUUAUGUUUUAAGGGUUUGGGAUUUCACAAGUAGUUGUUUAUUUAUGAGAUUUAUUCUUGAGUUUAGAAUAUCUCAUUUUUUUAAUGUGAGUUUUGAUUUCUCAUAUUACGGGGGAGUUUAUUGGAACACUCAUGUUUUAGGCUAUUUUUAGUCCGGUUUGUGGACUGUCCGAGAUAGGACGAUUAUUUGUGGAGUUGCAGGAUUUGCGCCCACGGAAUAUUGUUAUUCCCUUUUACUAAGACCAAAGACGAGCUGAAGUUCCAUCCUCUUUUGAAAAUUGAAGUUUAUACCUGAGGAGACUGUUGACAUGAUUUGUCCGUCCUCGACAUGAUGUCCACGACAUAGGUGUUCUGCUUUGUCGUUGCAUAUUUUGCGUUUCGCAUCCCACCUUUGUCGUGCGGGGGAGUAUUGGAGAUAAGCAAGAUGUGUAUCUUGCGGACCAAGUAAUAUGGACCGUUAAAGUCCAUUAUGAAGUGAAGCCCGUGAAGCCUAAACCGAAGAAUAUUCUAGAUCUCUAUAUUACUUCUUGUACAAGUUAUUUACUUAUAUGUUUAGGAAAGUUUACAUUAUGUGGGUGUUAACAUUAUGUUAAUGUUAACACUAUAUAUAUGUAUCUUAUAUUUUCAUAUGAGAGACAACUCAAUAAAGUAUUUUAUAGAUUCUAUAAUAUUUGACAUAUUUCGAAAAUGCUUAAUCAUUUGACGUUGUCACGUGAUUUUGACCAUUUAAUUGGGAUGGAAGCUCAUAUGGAAAGGAUGGAACAGUUUUUACGUCUAGAUUUGGAUGAAGUGAGGAUGAUUGGGAUUUGGGGUCCGGCUUGGAUUGGGAAGACCACCAUCGCCAGGUUUUUGUUUAACCAAGUCUCAAGCAGUUUCCAAAAUAGCGCAAUAAUGGUAAAUAUCAAAGGAAGCUAUCCAAGACCUUGUCGAGAUGUGUACAAAGCAAAGUUGAAACUACAGAAAAAAAUGUUGUCCCAUAUGAUCAACCAGAAAGAUAUCGUGAUUUCUCAUUUAGGAGUCGCACAAGAACGAUUGAGACACAGGACAGUGCUUCUCGUGCUUGACGAUGUGGAUCAGUUUGCACAACUAGAAGCCUUGGCUAAAGAUGUUAAAUGGUUUGGUCCUAGAAGUCGGAUUAUCAUCACAACAGAAGAUCUAAGACUUUUGAAGAAGCAUGGGAUCAACCAUAUAUACAAGGUUGAUUUUCCAUCAAAUGAUGAGGCUCUUCAAAGGUUCUGCAUGUAUGCUUUUAACCAAAAGACCCCUGAAGAUGGUUUCGAUGCACUUGCUCGUGAAAUUACAUACCUUGUCGGUGAACUUCCUUUAGGACUAAAGGUUAUUGGAUCCCACUUUCGAAGAUUGUCCAAGGAGCAGUGGUCAAUGGAAGUAUCAAGGUUAAGGACUAACCUUGAUGGAGAUAUUGAGAGCAUUUUGAAGUUCAGUUAUGAUGCUUUAUGUGAU
RNAcentral lists this long non-coding RNA (20690 nucleotides) under Arabidopsis lyrata. RNAcentral's name for it is "long non-coding RNA (ALYR_LNC003444)". The record is from RNAcentral. Lineage: Eukaryota; Viridiplantae; Streptophyta; Magnoliopsida; Brassicales; Brassicaceae.